CAGCCGCCGCGGUAAUACAGAGGGUGCGAGCGUUAAUCGGAUUUACUGGGCGUAAAGCGUGCGUAGGCGGGUUCUUAAGUCGGAUGUGAAAUCCCUGAGCUUAACUUAGGAAUUGCAUUCGAUACUGGGAAGCUAGAGUAUGGGAGAGGAUGGUAGAAUUCCAGGUGUAGCGGUGAAAUGCGUAGAGAUCUGGAGGAAUACCGAUGGCGAAGGCAGCCAUCUGGCCUAAUACUGACGCUGAGGUACGAAAGCAUGGGGAGCAAACAGGAUUAGAGACCCCCGUAGUCCCUGUCUCUUAUAC
RNAcentral lists this ribosomal RNA (301 nucleotides) under uncultured bacterium. RNAcentral describes it as "partial 16S ribosomal RNA". It matches the Rfam family "Bacterial small subunit ribosomal RNA", at positions 509 to 807 of the family's 1533-position model. The record is from RNAcentral.